Bubalus bubalis (water buffalo) is the source of this 1187-nucleotide long non-coding RNA. RefSeq lists it as uncharacterized. Lineage: Eukaryota; Metazoa; Chordata; Mammalia; Artiodactyla; Bovidae. The record is from RefSeq and is a predicted model, not a curated record. The transcript is spliced from 2 exons.
AUGAGUUUGGGUGAACUCUGGGAGUUGGUGAUAGACAGGGAGGCCUGGCGUGCUGCAAUUCAUGGGGUCGCAAAGAGUCGGACAUGACUGAGUGACUGAAGUGAACUGAACUGAACUGAUGGGCACUAAAUAUAGGCAGGUGGUACAGUAUUGCAGGCCAGGACAAAACCCUUAGGCAGGGGUGCCGUUAUCUCAGAAUGGUGUUACUGCUUGUAUUUGCUUAGUAGUUAGUAGUUGUGAUCUUCCUGUAUUGGGCCUGUUAAACAUCUUGCAACUCAUCCUACUCUGAGUGAAGGGAAUCUGUUUGUGAACUGGGUGACCAUGAUGGCCUCACCACAAAAUGAGGUGAUUGGUGAGUCUACAGCAAAAGGAGCUAUUGUCGACCUCUGAAGUUCCCCGAAAAAUCGACUUGAUAAGCACCUGACUCCAAAGCUUGCCUGCCUCUUGGAUGGUCUGUAUGGCAUUUGUGGUAUUUGGUUGCAAUGCACCUCUAUCUACCUAUCCUCAGGGAUAUUGCAGAAGAGGGAUGGGCUGAGAUUAUAAGGGUCAUACAUGUAUGGGUGGAAUGUAUGACUAGGCAAUUCAGGAUGGCUGUUUGCUGUCUGUACAUCUCCUCCUCAACCAGGCCCUGCUUCACUCACAUGACUAUUCAAUCCUCUUAAUUAUAGGGCUUAAUAGUAAUUGCCUACUUGCUUGCUCCCUGUCCCAGCUGCUGGUUUCCCAGCAGCUUUUGAUGAGCCAGUCUGACAUUAAUUCCCCCUAUAAAUGGUAGUCUCCUUCUUCCCCAAGUAGCAAAGACUGCUGCCACAUCCUGUCUGCCACACACAGUGAGGUGCUGCUUCUGGACCUUGCUUCAGAUGUGUAAGAUCCUCUAUCAAAUAAGACACUGAUGACUCUUGCUACCUUGAGGCUCUUUCUUCAGUCCUGAGGCUGGGCAACUGCAAGACUUGCAGGCCUGCAGGGUACAACCCAAUGGUUGUUCCUGAGACCUUUCCAAGGCGGACAAUGCCUGCUCUGGCUUACCACCUGCAGAAACAUCUUGGCUUCCUCAGCAACCAGUUCACAUUCCUUGGCUUGCCUGUGCCUUCGGUGAUCACUGUUUAUCAGAUGAUUCUAAACAAGUUCUGACACAGGCAACCUGGCAAACUCUCACCACCUAGUGUCAUCUGCAAAUACACAUUUUCCAA